UACGGAGGGUGCAAGCGUUGCUCGGAAUUAUUGGGCGUCAAGGGUAGGUAGGUGGUCUCAUUUGUCUGGGGUGAAAGCCUUGAGCUUAACUCAAGAAGUGCCCCGGAAACGGUGAGACUCGAGUACUGGAGAGGUUCGUGGAAUUCCCGGUGUAGCGGUGAAAUGCGUAGAGAUCGGGAGGAACACCAGAGGCGAAGGCGGCGAACUGGACAGUUACUGACACUCAACUACGAAAGCGUGGGGAGCAAACAGG
RNAcentral lists this ribosomal RNA (253 nucleotides) under uncultured bacterium. Its description in RNAcentral is "partial 16S ribosomal RNA". It matches the Rfam family "Bacterial small subunit ribosomal RNA", at positions 524 to 776 of the family's 1533-position model. The record is from RNAcentral.